This 254-nucleotide ribosomal RNA is filed under the name uncultured bacterium. RNAcentral's name for it is "partial 16S ribosomal RNA". It matches the Rfam family "Bacterial small subunit ribosomal RNA", at positions 524 to 776 of the family's 1533-position model. The record is from RNAcentral.
CACGUAGGGUGCGAGCGUUGUCCGGAAUUAUUGGGCGUAAAGAGCUCGUAGGCGGUGUGUCGCGUCGGCCGUGAAAACUUACAGCUUAACUGUGAGCGUGCGGUCGAUACGGGCAUCACUUGAGUUCGGCAGGGGAGACUGGAAUUCCUGGUGUAGCGGUGAAAUGCGCAGAUAUCAGGAGGAACACCGGUGGCGAAGGCGGGUCUCUGGGCCGAUACUGACGCUGAGGAGCGAAAGCGUGGGGAGCGAACAGG